CCAUCCUGUUUCUUCCACGCCGUUCCAUCCUUAUCCGAAUCUCCCAACAUCUUUCUUCUUUCGCUCAACUCCCCUAUUCUGCAUCCAAAAAAAAUCCUCUGCUUCCUUCUCAUAUCCAGCAUCCACCAGCUGCAUCAAAUCUUAUCCACGGAUUCAUCCCAGCAUCCCUUGCAUUUUGCUCCACGUCCUCGUCACCCCCUGCAGCCGAAGAUCAAUCUCUCGG
RNAcentral lists this long non-coding RNA (223 nucleotides) under Phoenix dactylifera (date palm). RNAcentral describes it as "long non-coding RNA (PDAC_LNC023048)". Lineage: Eukaryota; Viridiplantae; Streptophyta; Magnoliopsida; Arecales; Arecaceae. The record is from RNAcentral.